Apodospora peruviana is the source of this 88-nucleotide non-coding RNA. The record is from the annotation of a GenBank genome assembly. Lineage: Eukaryota; Fungi; Ascomycota; Sordariomycetes; Sordariales; Lasiosphaeriaceae.
GGGAUAAUAGUAUAGUGGUCAGUACUUCUCGUUGUGGUCAAGUACCUACAAUUCCGAGAGGACCCAGGUUCGAUUCCUGGUUAUCCCA